AGAGAAAGCACCCGAGUAGCUGAAG
This 25-nucleotide unclassified non-coding RNA is filed under the name Mus musculus (house mouse). RNAcentral describes it as "oocyte_clustered_small_RNA9961". Lineage: Eukaryota; Metazoa; Chordata; Mammalia; Rodentia; Muridae. The record is from RNAcentral.